Molecule: ribosomal RNA, 468 nt
Filed under: uncultured bacterium
Lineage: Bacteria
Description: partial 16S ribosomal RNA
Rfam family: Bacterial small subunit ribosomal RNA
Source: RNAcentral
GACGAACGCUGGCGGCGUGCUUAACACAUGCAAGUCGAACGGAAAGGCCCUGCUUGUGUGGGGUGCUCGAGGGGCGAACGGGUGAGUAACACGUGAGUAACCUGCCCUUGACUUUGGGAUAACUUCAGGAAACUGGGGCUAAUACCGGAUAGGAGCGCCUGCUGCAGGGGGGGGGUUGGAAAGUUUGGGUGGUGGGGGAUGGACGCGGGGCUUAUCAGCUUGUGGGUGGGGUAGUGGCUUACCAAGUCUUCGACGGGUGGCCGGCCUGGGAGGGUGGCCGCCGUCCUUGGUCCUGCGAGACGCCCCAGACUCCAACGGGGGGCAGUGGUGGGGAAUAUGCCACAAUGGGGGGAAGCGUGUUGCAGAAACGCCGCGUGCGGAAUGCCGGCCUUCGGGUUGUAAACCGCUUUCGCCUGUGACGAUGCGUGAGUGACGGUAAUGGGUAAAGAAGCACCGGCUAACUACGUG